This 180-nucleotide ribosomal RNA is filed under the name uncultured Glomeromycotina. RNAcentral describes it as "partial small subunit ribosomal RNA". The stretch from base 92 to 180 matches the Rfam family "Eukaryotic small subunit ribosomal RNA", at positions 739 to 830 of the family's 1831-position model. Lineage: Eukaryota; Fungi; Glomeromycota. The record is from RNAcentral.
GGCCUGGCGGGAUGGUCCGCCUUACGGUGUGUACUGUCCGGCCGGGUCUUACCUCCUGGUGAGCCCGUAUGUCCUUUAUUGGGUGUGCGGUGGAACCAGGAAUUUUACCUUGAGAAAAUUAGAGUGUUUAAAGCAGGCCUACGCUUGAAUACAUUAGCAUGGAAUAAUAGAAUAGGACUU